CCUACGGGAGGCAGCAGUGAGGAAUAUUGGUCAAUGGUCGGGAGACUGAACCAGCCAAGCCGCGUGAGGGAUGAAGGUACAGAGUAUCGUAAACCUCUUUUGUCAGGGAACAAAGGCGGGGACGUGUCCCCGGAUGAGUGUACCUGAAGAAAAAGCAUCGGCUAACUCCGUGCCAGCAGCCGCGGUAAUACGGAGGAUGCGAGCGUUAUCCGGAUUUAUUGGGUUUAAAGGGUGCGCAGGCGGUCUGUUAAGUAAGCGGUAAAAGCCCGGGGCACAACCCGGGCCCGCCGUUGAAACUGGCAGUCUCGAGUUGGAGAGAAGUAUGCGGAAUGCGCGGUGUAGCGGUGAAAUGCAUAGAUAUCGCGCAGAACUCCGAUUGCGAAGGCAGCAUGCCGGCUCCACACUGACGCUGAGGCACGAAAGCGUGGGUAUCGAACAGGAUUAGAUACCCGAGUAGUC
This 459-nucleotide ribosomal RNA is filed under the name uncultured bacterium. Its description in RNAcentral is "partial 16S ribosomal RNA". It matches the Rfam family "Bacterial small subunit ribosomal RNA", at positions 338 to 795 of the family's 1533-position model. The record is from RNAcentral.